GGUGAGGUGGGAGAGUGGCUGAAUCCAGCAGUUUGCUAAACUGCCGAACCGGUUUUCGGUUCCGCGAGUUCGAAUCUCGCCCUCACCG
Molecule: transfer RNA, 88 nt
Filed under: Bacteroidales bacterium
Lineage: Bacteria; Pseudomonadati; Bacteroidota; Bacteroidia; Bacteroidales
Also listed under: 1 other name
Description: tRNA-Ser
Rfam family: tRNA
About the family: Transfer RNA (tRNA) molecules are approximately 80 nucleotides in length. Their secondary structure includes four short double-helical elements and three loops (D, anti-codon, and T loops). Further hydrogen bonds mediate the characteristic L-shaped molecular structure. tRNAs have two regions of fundamental functional importance: the anti-codon, which is responsible for specific mRNA codon recognition, and the 3' end, to which the tRNAs corresponding amino acid is attached (by aminoacyl-tRNA synthetases). tRNAs cope with the degeneracy of the genetic code in two manners: having more than one tRNA (with a specific anti-codon) for a particular amino acid; and 'wobble' base-pairing, i.e. permitting non-standard base-pairing at the 3rd anti-codon position.
Source: RNAcentral